AGCUCCAAUAGCGUAUAUUAAAGUUGUUGCAGUUAAAAAGCUCGUAGUUGGAUUUCUGGUUGGAGCGAUCGGUCCCGCACUUGGUGUGGGUACUGCGUCGUCUCCGGCCAUCUUUGGGGAGAUCCUAUGUGGCAUUAAGUUGUUGCGUGGGGGAUGCUCAUCGUUUACUGUGAAGAAAUUAGAGUGUUCAAAGCAGGCUUAUGCCGCUGAAUACAUUAGCAUGGAAUAAUAAGAUAGGACCUUGGUACUAUUUUGUUGGUUUGCGCACCAAGGUAAUGAUUAAUAGGGACAGUUGGGGGUAUUCGUAUUCAAUUGUCAGAGGUGAAAUUCUUGGAUUUCUGGAAGACGAACUACUGCGAAAGCAUUUACCAAGGAUGUUUUCA
Molecule: ribosomal RNA, 383 nt
Filed under: uncultured eukaryote
Lineage: Eukaryota
Description: SSU rRNA
Rfam family: Eukaryotic small subunit ribosomal RNA
Source: RNAcentral